CAAUAGCGUAUAUUAAAGUUGUUGCAGUUAAAAAGCUCGUAGUUGGAUUUCUGGUAGGAGCGACCGUGCCGAACUUGCUUGUUCGAGUAUUGUGUUGUCUUCAGCCAUCCUCGUGGAGAACUUUUCUAACAUUAACUUGUUGGGAUUGGGACCCGCGUCGUUUACUGUGAAAAAAUUAGAGUGUUUAAAGCAGGCAUUAGCUUGAAUACAUUAGCAUGGAAUAAUAAGAUAGGACUUUGGUACUAUUUUGUUGGUUUGCAUACCAAAUUAAUGAUCAACAGGAACAGUUUGAGGAUAUUCGUAUGAACAUGUCAGAGGUGAAAUUCUUGGAUUUUGAUCAGACGAACUACUGCGAAAGCAUUUAUCAAGGAUGUUUUCAUUAA
This 383-nucleotide ribosomal RNA is filed under the name uncultured eukaryote. Its description in RNAcentral is "partial 18S ribosomal RNA". It matches the Rfam family "Eukaryotic small subunit ribosomal RNA", at positions 592 to 976 of the family's 1831-position model. The record is from RNAcentral.